AGUGAAAGCUGGCGGUAGGCCUAACACAUGCAAGUCGAACGGCAGCACAGGAGAGCUUGCUCUCUGGGUGGCGAGUGGCGGACGGGUGAGGAAUACAUCGGAAUCUACUCUGUCGUGGGGGAUAACGUAGGGAAACUUACGCUAAUACCGCAUACGACCUACGGGUGAAAGCAGGGGACCUUCGGGCCUUGCGCGAUUGAAUGAGCCGAUGGCGGGUUAGCUAGUUGGCGGGGUAAAGGCCCGCCAAGGCGACGAUCCGUAGCUGGUCUGAGAGGAUGAUCAGCAACACUCGAACUGGGACACGGUCCAGACUCCUACGGGAGGCAGCAGUGGGGAAUAUUGGACAAUGGGCGCAAGCCUGAUCCAGCCAUACCGCGUGGGUGAAGAAGGCCUUCGGGUUGUAAAGCCCUUUUGUUGGGAAAGAAAUCCAGCUGGCUAAUACCCGGUUGGGAUGACGGUACCCAAAGAAUAAGCACCGGCUAACUUCGUGCCAGCCGCCGCCGUAA
RNAcentral lists this ribosomal RNA (506 nucleotides) under uncultured bacterium. RNAcentral's name for it is "partial 16S ribosomal RNA". It matches the Rfam family "Bacterial small subunit ribosomal RNA", at positions 29 to 523 of the family's 1533-position model. The record is from RNAcentral.